Molecule: ribosomal RNA, 258 nt
Filed under: uncultured bacterium
Lineage: Bacteria
Description: partial 16S ribosomal RNA
Rfam family: Bacterial small subunit ribosomal RNA
Source: RNAcentral
UGGCGGACGGGUGAGUAACGCGUGGGUAACCUGCCUUACACAGGGGGAUAACACCUGGAAACAGGUGCUAAUACCGCAUAAGCGCACAGGGCCGCAUGGCCCGGUGUGAAAAACUCCGGUGGUAUGAGAUGGACCCGCGUCUGAUUAGCUAGUUGGUGGGGUAAGGGCUCACCAAGGCGACGAUCAGUAGCCGGCCUGAGAGGGUGACCGGCCACAUUGGGACUGAGACACGGCCCAAACUCCUACGGAAGGCAGCAG